This 468-nucleotide ribosomal RNA is filed under the name uncultured bacterium. RNAcentral describes it as "partial 16S ribosomal RNA". It matches the Rfam family "Bacterial small subunit ribosomal RNA", at positions 28 to 507 of the family's 1533-position model. The record is from RNAcentral.
GACGAACGCUGGCGGCGUGCUUAACACAUGCAAGUCGAACGGAAAGGCCCUGCUUUUGUGGGGUGCUCGAGUGGCGAACGGGUGAGUAACACGUGAGUAACCUGCCCUUGACUUUGGGAUAACUUCAGGAAACUGGGGCUAAUACCGGAUAGGAGCUCCUGCUGCAUUGUGUGGGUUGGAAAGUUUCGGCGGUUGGGGAUGGACUCGCGGCUUAUCAGCUUGUUGGUGGGGUAGUGGCUUACCAAGGCUUUGACGGGUAGCCGGCCUGAGAGGGUGACCGGCCACAUUGGGACUGAGAUACGGCCCAGACUCCUACGGGAGGCAGCAGUGGGGAAUAUUGCACAAUGGGCGGAAGCCUGAUGCAGCAACGCCGCGUGCGGGAUGACGGCCUUCGGGUUGUAAACCGCUUUCGCCUGUGACGAAGCGUGAGUGACGGUAAUGGGUAAAGAAGCACCGGCUAACUACGUG